CUACGGGCGGCAGCAGUGGGGAAUAUUGGACAAUGGACCAAGAGUCUGAUCCAGCAAUUCUGUGUGUUUGAUGAAGGCCUUCGGGUUGUAAAGAACUUUAAGUAGGGAAGAAGAAAGUGACGGUACCUACAGAAUAAGCGACGGCUAAAUACGUGCCAGCAGCCGCGGUAAUACGUAUGUCGCAAGCGUUAUCCGGAAUUAUUGGGCAUAAAGCGCGUCUAGGCGGUUUAUUAAGUCUGAUGUGAAAAUGCGGGGCUCAACUCCGUAUUGCGUUGGAAACUGGUAGACUAGAGUAUUGGAGAGGUAGGCGGAACUACAAGUGUAGAGGUGAAAUUCGUAGAUAUUUGUAGGAAUGCCAAUUGGGAAGCCAGCUUACUGGACAAAUACUGACGCUGAAGCGCGAAAGCUAGGGGAGCAAACAGGAUUAGAUACCCUUGUAGUC
This 442-nucleotide ribosomal RNA is filed under the name uncultured bacterium. RNAcentral describes it as "partial 16S ribosomal RNA". It matches the Rfam family "Bacterial small subunit ribosomal RNA", at positions 339 to 795 of the family's 1533-position model. The record is from RNAcentral.